Molecule: long non-coding RNA, 228 nt
Filed under: Brassica rapa (field mustard)
Lineage: Eukaryota; Viridiplantae; Streptophyta; Magnoliopsida; Brassicales; Brassicaceae
Description: long non-coding RNA (BRAP_LNC008394)
Source: RNAcentral
UCUGAUCGGUAGGAUGAACCUCAGCUGGGACGUCUGGAAUGUUCUGAUCGGUCUGGUCCAUAGACUGGGGCACAUCAAGGAGCUUGGGCAAUCCGUGUGGGCUUGUUUGUACUUGUCCAGGAGCGGAUUGGCAAGCCCAGGGCGUCUGGAAACUGCCUGAGGCGAAUGGGUAUGAUCUGGACCAUUGAUUAAAUCAAUUGCCAGAAAUGAUACCGAAAGGGUUCAACU